This 484-nucleotide ribosomal RNA is filed under the name uncultured bacterium. RNAcentral describes it as "partial 16S ribosomal RNA". It matches the Rfam family "Bacterial small subunit ribosomal RNA", at positions 30 to 507 of the family's 1533-position model. The record is from RNAcentral.
AUUGAACGCUAGCGGGAUGCUUUACACAUGCAAGUCGAACGGCAGCGCGGACUUCGGUCUGGCGGCGAGUGGCGAACGGGUGAGUAAUGUAUCGGAACGUGCCCAGUAGCGGGGGAUAACUACGCGAAUGCGUAGCUAAUACCGCAUACGCCCUACGGGGGAAAGCAGGGGAUCGUAAGACCUUGCACUAUUGGAGCGGCCGAUAUCGGAUUAGCUAGUUGGUGAGGUAACGGCUUACCAAGGCGACGAUCCGUAGCUGGUUUGAGAGGACGACCAGCCACACUGGGACUGAGACACGGCCCAGACUCCUACGGGAGGCAGCAGUGGGGAAUUUUGGACAAUGGGGGCAACCCUGAUCCAGCCAUCCCGCGUGUGCGAUGAAGGCCUUCGGGUUGUAAAGCACUUUUGGCAGGAAAGAAACGUCGCGGGCUAAUACCCCGUGGAACUGACGGUACCUGCAGAAUAAGCACCGGCUAACUACGUG